AUCAAAAGAAAUCCAAAUCAAAAUCAAAAUGCAUCGGAAUAAAAAAGUAAAAUAAUAAAAAUAAUAAUUUAUUUGGUUCAUAAGAGAAUUCGGAAUCAGAAUAUUCCAAACUGAAAGUAAAAAAAUUGUAUUUUAUUAUAAUUUAAAUUUGUUAUUUCAAUGCUUAAUCAAAAUUUGAAUCUAAAUUUAAACUUAUAAUUUGAAGAUAAAAUUUUGAAUUUAUAAUUAAAAUU
RNAcentral lists this long non-coding RNA (233 nucleotides) under Ananas comosus (pineapple). Its description in RNAcentral is "long non-coding RNA (ACOM_LNC000494)". The record is from RNAcentral. Lineage: Eukaryota; Viridiplantae; Streptophyta; Magnoliopsida; Poales; Bromeliaceae.